UAGGGAAUCUUCGGCAAUGGACGAAAGUCUGACCGAGCAACGCCGCGUGAGUGAAGAAGGUUUUCGGAUCGUAAAACUCUGUUGUUAGAGAAGAACAAGGACGUUAGUAACUGAACGUCCCCUGACGGUAUCUAACCAGAGAGCCACGGCUAACUACGUGCCAGCAGCCGCGGUAAUACGUAGGUGGCAAGCGUUGUCCGGAUGUAUUGGGCGUAAAGCGAGCGCAGGCGGUUUCUUAAGUCUGAUGUGAAAGCCCCCGGCUCAACCGGGGAGGGUCAUUGGAGACUGGGAGACUUGAGUGCAGAAAAGGAGAGUGGAAUUCCAUGUGUAGCGGUGAAAUGCGUAGAUAUAUGGAGGAACACCAGUGGCGGAGGCGGCUCUCUGGUCUGUAACUGACGCUGAGGCUCGAAAGCGUGGGGAGCAAACAAG
This 429-nucleotide ribosomal RNA is filed under the name Gemmatimonadota bacterium. RNAcentral describes it as "Gemmatimonadetes bacterium partial 16S ribosomal RNA". It matches the Rfam family "Bacterial small subunit ribosomal RNA", at positions 355 to 776 of the family's 1533-position model. Lineage: Bacteria; Pseudomonadati; Gemmatimonadota. The record is from RNAcentral.